This 213-nucleotide long non-coding RNA is filed under the name Elaeis guineensis (African oil palm). RNAcentral's name for it is "long non-coding RNA (EGUI_LNC015131)". Lineage: Eukaryota; Viridiplantae; Streptophyta; Magnoliopsida; Arecales; Arecaceae. The record is from RNAcentral.
AAGCAAUGGGUUGGAGAUUUUCACCGGCAAUACUUAGUGAGCGAAUCAGAUAGACAUUAGGUGCAUGCAUGCUUAUACCAUGACAUUUCUCAAAGAAUCAAUAGAUGUUCCCCUAUCACUAAAAUAAAUUUUCACUUGAAAAUCUCUAAUUAAAUAUUGUUCUAGUGCUCAGAACUUUAGGCAAUUUUUUGAGUCAAUAUUAUCAACACAUAG